This 1481-nucleotide ribosomal RNA is filed under the name metagenome. RNAcentral describes it as "bacterial SSU rRNA". It matches the Rfam family "Bacterial small subunit ribosomal RNA". The record is from RNAcentral.
AGAGUUUGAUCAUGGCUCAGGAUGAACGCUGGCGGCGUGCUUAACACAUGCAAGUCGAACGGGAAAUAUUUCAUUGAGACUUCGGUGGAUUUGAUCUAUUUCUAGUGGCGGACGGGUGAGUAACGCGUGGGUAACCUGCCUUAUACAGGGGGAUAACAGUCAGAAAUGGCUGCUAAUACCGCAUAAGCGCACAGAGCUGCAUGGCUCAGUGUGAAAAACUCCGGUGGUAUAAGAUGGACCCGCGUUGGAUUAGCUGGUUGGUGGGGUAACGGCCCACCAAGGCGACGAUCCAUAGCCGGCCUGAGAGGGUGAACGGCCACAUUGGGACUGAGACACGGCCCAGACUCCUACGAGAGGCAGCAGUGGGGAAUAUUGCACAAUGGGGGAAACCCUGAUGCAGCGACGCCGCGUGGAGGAAGAAGGUCUUCGGAUUGUAAACUCCUGUUGUUGAGGAAGAUAAUGACGGUACUCAACAAGGAAGUGACGGCUAACUACGUGCCAGCAGCCGCGGUAAAACGUAGGUCACAAGCGUUGUCCGGAAUUACUGGGUGUAAAGGGAGCGCAGGCGGGCGAUCAAGUUGGAAGUGAAAUCCAUGGGCUCAACCCAUGAACUGCUUUCAAAACUGAUUGACUUGAGUAGUGCAGAGGUAGGCGGAAUUCCCGGUGUAGCGGUGGAAUGCGUAGAUAUCGGGAGGAACACCAGUGGCGAAGGCGGCCUACUGGGCACCAACUGACGCUGAGGCUCGAAAGUGUGGGUAGCAAACAGGAUUAGAUACCCUGGUAGUCCACACCGUAAACGAUGAUUACUAGGUGUUGGAGGAUUGACCCUUUCAGUGCCGCAGUUAACACAAUAAGUAAUCCACCUGGGGAGUACGACCGCAAGGUUGAAACUCAAAGGAAUUGACGGGGGCCCGCACAAGCAGUGGAGUAUGUGGUUUAAUUCGACGCAACGCGAAGAACCUUACCAAGUCUUGACAUCCUGCGACGAUGCUAGAAAUAGUAUUUUCCUUCGGGACGCAGAGACAGGUGGUGCAUGGUUGUCGUCAGCUCGUGUCGUGAGAUGUUGGGUUAAGUCCCGCAACGAGCGCACCCCUUAUGGUCAGUUACUACGCAAGAGGACUCUGGCCAGACUGCCGUUGACAAAACGGAGGAAGGUGGGGAUGACGUCAAAUCAUCAUGCCCUUUAUGACUUGGGCUACACACGUACUACAAUGGCGUUAAACAAAGAGAAGCAAGACCGCGAGGUGGAGCAAAACUCAGAAACAACGUCCCAGUUCGGACUGCAGGCUGCAACUCGCCUGCACGAAGUCGGAAUUGCUAGUAAUCGCAGAUCAGCAUGCUGCGGUGAAUACGUUCCCGGGCCUUGUACACACCGCCCGUCACACCAUGAGAGCCGGGGGGACCCGAAGUCGGUAGUCUAACCGCAAGGAGGACGCCGCCGAAGGUAAAACUGGUGAUUGGGGUGAAGUCGUAACAAGGUA